UCCGGUUUAACACCGGCAGUCUCUCUAAAGUGCUCAACUUAAUGGUAGCAACUAGAGAUAAGGGUUGCGCUCGUUAUCGGACUUAACCGAACAUCCUACGACACGAGCUGACGACAGCCAUGCAGCACCUGUCUCCCCGUCCCCGAAGGGAACUCCACAUCUCUGUGGAUAGCGAGGGAUGUCAAGGCCAGGUAAGGUUCUGCGCGUUGCUUCGAAUUAAACCACAUACUCCACCGCUUGUGCGGGCCCCCGUCAAUUCCUUUGAGUUUUAGCCUUGCGACCGUACUCCCCAGGCGGGAUACUUACCGCGUUCGCUUCGGUACUCAGGGGGUUAACUCCCCGAACACCUAGUAUCCAUCGUUUACGGCGUGGACUAC
RNAcentral lists this unclassified non-coding RNA (377 nucleotides) under uncultured Oligoflexaceae bacterium. Its description in RNAcentral is "contains 16S-23S intergenic spacer region". The record is from RNAcentral. Lineage: Bacteria; Pseudomonadati; Bdellovibrionota; Oligoflexia; Oligoflexales; Oligoflexaceae.